This 859-nucleotide ribosomal RNA is filed under the name uncultured bacterium. Its description in RNAcentral is "bacterial SSU rRNA". It matches the Rfam family "Bacterial small subunit ribosomal RNA", at positions 1 to 818 of the family's 1533-position model. The record is from RNAcentral.
CGGAGAGUUUGAUCCUGGCUCAGGAUGAACGCUGGCGGCGUGCCUAAUACAUGCAAGUCGAACGCUUUGUGGUUCAACUGAUUUGAAGAGCUUGCUCAGAUAUGAUGAUGAACAUUGCAAAGAGUGGCGAACGGGUGAGUAACACGUGGGAAACCUACCUCUUAGCAGGGGAUAACAUUUGGAAACAGAUGCUAAUACCGUAUAACAAUAGCAACCGCAUGGUUGCUACUUAAAAGAUGGUUCUGCUAUCACUAAGAGAUGGUCCUGCGGUGCAUUAGUUAGUUGGUGAGGUAAUGGCUCACCAAGACGAUGAUGCAUAGCCGAGUUGAGAGACUGAUCGGCCACAAUGGGACUGAGACACGGCCCAUACUCCUACGGGAGGCAGCAGUAGGGAAUCUUCCACAAUGGGCGAAAGCCUGAUGGAGCAACGCCGCGUGUGUGAUGAAGGGUUUCGGCUCGUAAAACACUGUUGUAAGAGAAGAAUGACAUUGAGAUUAACUGUUCAAUGUGUGACGGUAUCUUACCAGAAAGGAACGGCUAAAUACGUGCCAGCAGCCGCGGUAAUACGUAUGUUCCAAGCGUUAUCCGGAUUUAUUGGGCGUAAAGCGAGCGCAGACGGUUAUUUAAGUCUGAAGUGAAAGCCCUCAGCUCAACUGAGGAAUUGCUUUGGAAACUGGAUGACUUGAGUGCAGUAGAGGAAAGUGGAACUCCAUGUGUAGCGGUGAAAUGCGUAGAUAUAUGGAAGAACACCAGUGGCGAAGGCGGCUUUCUGGACUGUAACUGACGUUGAGGCUCGAAAGUGUGGGUAGCAAACAGGAUUAGAUACCCUGGUAGUCCACACCGUAAACGAUGAGUGCUA